GUGUUCAAUUAAAGGAGAGAUGGUUGGCAUCUCCCCUGACAGGGUUGGGAACAGCCUUCGGGCUUCCCUGUUAACACAUACGGUUAAGGCUACCCACCUCUUGUAGGUGGAUCUAACUGAAGUUUUUG
Benincasa hispida (wax gourd) is the source of this 128-nucleotide small nuclear RNA. The record is from RefSeq and is a predicted model, not a curated record. NCBI's taxonomy places the organism in Eukaryota, Viridiplantae, Streptophyta, Magnoliopsida, Cucurbitales, Cucurbitaceae.